This 468-nucleotide ribosomal RNA is filed under the name uncultured bacterium. RNAcentral's name for it is "partial 16S ribosomal RNA". It matches the Rfam family "Bacterial small subunit ribosomal RNA", at positions 28 to 507 of the family's 1533-position model. The record is from RNAcentral.
GACGAACGCUGGCGGCGUGCUUAACACAUGCAAGUCGAACGGAAAGGCCCUGCUUUUGUGGGGUGCUCGAGUGGCGAACGGGUGAGUAACACGUGAGUAACCUGCCCUUGACUUUGGGAUAACUUCAGGAAACUGGGGCUAAUACCGGAUAGGAGCUCCUGCUGCAUGGUGGGGGUUGGAAGGUUUCGGCGGUUGGGGAUGGACUCGCGGCUUAUCAGCUUGUUGGUGGGGUAGUGGCUUACCAAGGCUUUGACGGGUAGCCGGCCUGAGAGGGUGACCGGCCACAUUGGGACUGAGAUACGGCCCAGACUCCUACGGGAGGCAGCAGUGGGGAAUAUUGCACAAUGGGCGGAAGCCUGAUGCAGCAACGCCGCGUGCGGGAUGACGGCCUUCGGGUUGUAAACCGCUUUCGCCUGUGACGAAGCGUGAGUGACGGUAAUGGGUAAAGGAGCACCGGCUAACUACGUG